Schistocerca gregaria is the source of this 1342-nucleotide long non-coding RNA. RefSeq lists it as uncharacterized. Lineage: Eukaryota; Metazoa; Arthropoda; Insecta; Orthoptera; Acrididae. The transcript has 3 exons. The record is from RefSeq and is a predicted model, not a curated record.
ACUUCUCCAUAGUGCGAAAACACGUGUAUCAAACAACUAAAAUUUUAAGGCAAAUGCAAUAUUUUACACACAAAUAAAAAUAUACUGUUUGUGUCAUCAUGCACAAUGAUAUAUUGUGUACUUUUAAUGUUUGAGUGCGCUGUGAGGAAUUUGUAUUAUAAGGUAGUCAGCUGCAAACUACAUUUGUGAUUCCUAUAAAUUAGGCAUGAUGUGUGUGUUCGGACAUUUGGAAGAUUAAAUGUGUUAUGAGUAACCUAUUUUGUAGUAUAUCAACAGUUGUGAGCUACAGUUGUGUUUUAUUCACAAUUUUGGCAGCCUAUCUUGUUCGGGAAACAAUAUUUCCUUAACUGUAAUACAGUUAGCUGAAGUUAAAGUCAAGAAACAUAAAACAUUUUUGGAGUCAUGAGAAGUAAGCUGAAGUUCAGAUAAGGCAGUACUACUAUGCAAGUUUGCACAAGAAAAAUUCACCAGUCAGCAGUUUGCCUACUGUCUUCUGCCAAGACAUGAAAUUUAAGAAGAAGAAAUUGAAACUAAAAGAACAAUGCUUGAAACUAGAUUUCAAAUGGAUCAGACAAUAGCAGGUACAAGAAGUUUCCAUUAUUUUAAGCCAGUUUCUUGCAAAGAAGUUACAGCCACACGAGUGAGUUCAGACUUGAAAAUUUUGUUGAAACAAUAUAUUUUUAUGACUAUCCCAACUAUUAAACCUACCCUACAUUCUUUUGUUGCAUGCACUUAUGAGCAAAACUGGUGGAUAGGAAUGAUUCUGGGUAUCAAUGAAGAAGAAGAAGAAGAAGAAGAAGAAGAAGAAGAAGGGGACUAUGAAAUUCUUUUUAUGCGCCCUCACGGACCAGCAGAAACUUUCUUUUGCCCUCGAAAAGAAGACAGAUGGCCUGUUCCACCAGCCCAUCUUCUAUGUGUAGUAGCUCUCCAGAGGUAGUAACACAGUUCGGCAGAUCAUAUAAGACUGAUGCUAAUUCCCGAAAGGAAAUCACCAAAACAUGGAACAAUUUCAAUGCUUUAUAGUAAAAAACCAUUAAUGGACACUUAAAUGUAAUUGUUGUACAUACUGCUUCAUAUAAACUUAGCAUAAUACUUCAACUGAAUAAUUAUUAAACUUUAAAGUCAUCAAAAACUCUCUGUACAAAGGAUUUGUUUGAAAAAGAAUAAUCGCUAACUCAUGUAUUCAAAUGUAAGUAAACCUAUUUUGUAAAAUUCUCAAUGUAUGUAUCUUAUAUUUGAAAAUAAUUGAUAGUUCAUCUGGUAUCUUCACAGCUGUAUUGACUUCAAAUAUUUAAUUAUUGUAUCAAACAUGUAUUUUACAAAGUAAAUUACAAAAUUUGAA